ACUUAUAUGGUACAAAAAAAAGGCCUUAUACAGAACAUUGUGUUAAAACAGACAUCACAACGUAAUUCGUCAUUCAAAAUCCUUUAAUUUGAUGGGUCAUACAUUGAUUUCUGAUUAUCCGUUCCAAAGAUACAAAUAUUUGUACAAAAUUAUGAAAAAUCGAAUAAUUUGAAAUAUUUACAAAAAUAUUUUAAGUUGUUUGUUAACAUGCCGGGUGUGUAUGGUUGAUAAGAAAAGAGUGCAGACGUUAUUUUUGUUAAUAUUAACCUCCAAAGAUAUGACAAGCCACAAUGCUAAAAGUCCGAAUGUAGUCGGAUGAUAACAUGUAACCGCAGUUGUUAUUUGUGUAAAUGUUAUCACAUAUUUUUAAAACUAUAAGGUCUUGUUUUUGCAAAACACAUUCAAACAUUUGAUCACGUUCAUGCUGUGUGAAUUUCGCCUAUAAAUACUGAAACAGACGAGCAUAUACCACAGUCGACAUCUGACAGUUUCUACAGUAUAGUUGCAGUGUUCAGUGGAAAAUAUUCAAUUAAGAUAUUCCUAGCGUUCAGACGUGUGCUCUGGUGAGUUUUAUAUCGUUCAGAAGUGUGCUCUGUUGAGUGGCAAACUUUGAAUAUUUUUUGAUUUUGUCGAAAACAAUUUUUUUUUGAAAUUUUUAAAACAUAUUUAGUGUUUGGGUUCUAAUUUUUUUGAAUUCUAAGUUUUGAAUAUUUAUUAUUAUGUUAUUACUUAGUGUUGUUUGAUUUGGUCAGUUUUUUUUAAUAACGAAAACAUGAACACAUUCUUAGUCACUAAAGAUACAUUUAAGAAAAUUCGUAUUUCUCAUCCUUUAAUAACGAAAACAUGAACAAAUUCUUAGUCACUAAAGAUACAUUUAAGAAAAUUCGUAAAUUUGGCCUCCAGGGACGAACUCUGGAAUUUAAAAUCAGGGAUGUGCCGCAGAGUGAGGAACCUGUGGGAUGGGUAAAAAAGGCCAUCGAGGGGAUUGUACUUAAGGGAACAGAAGGUUUGGAACCAACCGAUCAGGUCGGUUUCACUUUUUGCUCGAAAGACUUUGCCAGAGGUCAGGGUUGGAUGAGGUUCAAGCCUGCCUGUGAAGUGACCGUUGAUGAUAUAUGGAAUAAGAUUAGUUCCAUAUAUCAGAGUAAUAGCACCGGCCUCAAUACCGAAACAUUUUGUUUGGGUAUUACGACGGUAAAACUGCCCGCGGGAAAAGGUGGUCCGAGAGGAAGAGCUUAUAACUCCUUUAACGAGGAGUGUUUGAAAAGGCGAGGAACUGUUGUUAUUAAAAACAAGGAUAAUCUUUGUUUACCUCGUGCUCUUGUGGUUGCAAAAGCUCACGUAGAUAAGGACCAAGAAUGGAAGAAGGUACGUCAAGAUAUUGGAAAAAUACAAGGACAAAGAGCCCAUCAACUGAUUGAAGCCGCUAAUGUAACAAUUCCUGUCGGAGGGGCAGGAAUACCCGAACUACAACAGUUUCAGGGACACCUCACAGAUUACAAAAUUGUGGUGUAUAGUUAUGGUAGCAAGGGUCGUGACGUUAUGUUCUGUGGUAACACUAAUGGUCCAGCGUUAAAUCUUUUGUAUCAUGAAGGACACUUUAACGUGAUCACUUCUUUGACAGCUGCUUUUUGUUGUAUUUAUUAUUGUGAGGAGUGCCACCAGCCGUUUAACAACAAAAACGACCACAGAUGUGGUGGUACAUGUUUUGCUUGUCGUCGUUCACCAGCUUGUUCCAAAGAUUGCGUGAAAAUACCCUGCGAUCAAUGUGGUCGAAACUUCUACGGUAAGGCAUGUUUCAAUGCUCAUGUUGGUUCGGUAUGCGAUAAAAUCAAAAGGUGUAAGACCUGUUACAAGAUCUACACCAAAAGUCAUGUCUGUGGUGAGGUCUUCUGUAAAACUUGUAAGAAAAAUUGUUUGUCAGAUCAUCUUUGUUACAUACAGCCCGAUUCUGGUCUUCCUCCAUCAAGCGAUUUUCUAUUUAUAUUUUAUGAUUUGGAAACUAGUCAGGAAAAGAUAUUGGCUGAUGGUUCGCUUCUUCAAGAACCAAUUCUCUGUGUAUUUAAUCAACGUUGUUACAAAUGUCUCCCUGAGAUGAAAUUAGUUUUCUGUCAAUCUUGUGGAUUUCGCCAAAAGAUUUUGAGGGGUCUUGACGUAAUAAGUCUUUUUAUGAAUCAUAUUUUGCAAAUUAGAAAAAAAUUCAAGAAUGUUGUCGUGUUAGCUCACAAUGGAGGAGGCUUCGACCAUCAAUUUAUUUUAAAUUAUAUUUUAACAAAGACUGAUUUAACCCCUGAUCUCAUUAUGCGUGGUACAAAGUUGGUGUCAAUGGCUGUUGGUAACGCUCGUUUUCUCGAUAGUCUUAAUUACUUUCCAAUGGCGUUGUCUGCUCUACCUAAAGCUUUUGGGUUGACAGAGUUGAAAAAGGGAUAUUUUCCACAUCUGUUUAACAGAGAGGAAAAUCAAUCUUAUGUUGGACCUAUGCCUGAUCUAAAAUUUUACGAUCCCGAUAAUUUAAAAGAUGAUGCACGUGACAAGCUGAUCGCGUGGCACGCUGAAAGAGUAGAUGAGGGAUACGUUUUUGAUUUUCAAAAGGAAAUUGUUGAAUAUUGUAUUAGCGAUGUUGAGAUUUUGACUAAGGCUUGUCUCACUUUCAGAAAACAGUUGAUGGAUACUUCAAAUGUCUGUCCGUUUUUCGAGGCAACAACUGUUGCAUCGACGUGUAACAAGGUAUUCAGGCGUAAUUUCUUACAACCAAACACAAUAGCCCUUAUUCCAAAAGGUGGCUAUCGUUUUAAAGAUAAUCAGUCGAAAAUAGCUUUGCAGUGGUUAUUGUGGGAAGAGAAGCAACGCUGUAUUAAAAUUCAGCAUGCCGCCAGGGGACCUGAAGCUCUUAUUGGAAAUUGUAGGGUGGACGGUCUUUACGAAAACACCAUCUUUGAUUUUCAAGGUUGUUAUUACCACGGUUGUCCUACUUGUUACCCUACAGAUAGAACUGCACCCCUUCAUGACGAUCCUUCAGAUUGUAUGGAAAAUCGUCAUGAUAAAACAAUUGCUAAAGUUAAGCAUCUCAGAUCAAUAGGAUAUGAGGUGGUUGAAAUGUGGGAAUGUCAAUUCCGUAAAAUGCUGACGGCCGAGAUAAAGGCGUAUACCGAGGGGCAUCCUCUUAUGGCUAGUUUACCUUUGAAUCCUAGAGAUGCUUUAUAUGGUGGUCGUACAGGCAAUACUGUAGAGUAUUACAAGUGUAAAGAUGGUGAAAAAAUUAAAUACGUUGAUGUUUGUUCGCUUUAUCCGUGGGUAUGCAAGUACGGAAAGUUCCCAAUCGGACAUCCAAAGAAAAUAUAUAUUGGACAGGAAUGCACUGCUGUAGACAUUACUGAGUUAUCUGGAUUAAUAAAGUGUAAGGUGCUUCCUCCUACAAACCUCUAUCAUCCUGUUCUUCCUACCAAGAUGAACAGUAAAUGUAUGUUCGUUUUAUGCCGAAAGUGUGGAGAGGACUUUGCGGAAGAAGAGUGUGAGCAUUCGAAUGAUGAACGGGCUCUAUCAGGUACUUGGGUGAUUGAGGAGGUAGUGAAAGCUUUAUCAAAGGGUUAUAAAAUAAUUGAGACCUAUGAGAUAUGGUCCUAUGAUGCUUUACAGUUAUCGAAAUCUCAGAAAGGUCUUUUUUCCGAUAUGAUGAACAAAUUUAUCAAAGUGAAACAACAAGCUUCAGGGUGGCCGCGAGGAUGUGUAUCGGAUGAGGAAAAGAGCCGGUACAUCGAGGAGUUUCUUCAGAGGGAGGAUGUCAGGCUGGAGUUUUCCGACAUAACGGAGAACCCUGGUCUGAGGUCGUUGGCUAAGCUUAUGCUCAAUUCUUUCUGGGGUAAGUUCGCUCAGCGAGAGAACCUCCCUAAAACAUCCAUAAUAAACAAGCCUGGAGAAUUUUUUGCUAUGUUGAUUAAUCCAUCCAUUCAGGUUAAUACGGUGAUCCCUGUAAAUGAGGACACACUGGUUGUUACGUGGGAGUAUGUGGAGGAGGCGUACUCAAUGUCGUCAACAGUUAAUGUUGUUCUGGCAUCAUACGUUACGGCUCUGGCUCGUCUCAAAUUGUACUCUUAUCUGGAGAUUAUUGGGUCUCGGGCAAAAUAUUACGACACAGAUUCGUCUAUUUACCUUUCCAAGGCUGGCUUACCUGAUCUCCCAAUAGGUGAGUGUAUAGGUGACUUAACUGAUGAGUUGGGUGGGGGGUAUAUUUCAGAGUUCGUUUCUGGAGGGCCUAAAAAUUACGCAUAUAAAUACACUUUGCCUAACGGUGAAGAAAAAAUUUGUUGUAAGGUUAAAGGUAUUUGUCUAAAUUAUGAGGCAUCUAAAUUAGUUAAUUUCGAUACCAUUAAGAAGAUGGUACUUAUGAAGUCUGACCCUGUUUCUGUGGUGACUAAACAAAUACAAAGGACACAGGAUCAUUGUGUUAUCACAAAAACCCUUGAAAAAAAAUAUAGACCAAACUCAGCAAAAAGAAAAUUUUUUGAAGAUUUUACAUCCGUACCUUAUGGUUAUAAAAAACUUAAAAUUUAAACUAUAGCCCAGACUCAGCUUUUUUAUUUUUUUAACACUAUACCUGUUUAACACUCACAAUCAACAUUUUUAAUUAGUAAGUUAUAUAUUAAUAGAUUACUUUUUGUUUUGUCAACAGUGGAUGCUUUUUCCUCUGCGAUACAACCGAUCGUCUGUCACACUGAAAAGUGGGUUACUAAAAAGUUGUAGUGAGUUGUCGUUUGUCCUACAUGAUUAAACAUCUUUAAAAGAUGUUCAGUUAAGACCAUUAAAAGAUAUCUGAUAUAUAGCCCACUGGCAAAUUAAUGAGCCGUUCUGGUUACGUCCGUUGCUCGUGUAGCCGCUCAUUAUAAAAGAUGGCAAUCAGAUCAUAAAAAGAUGUCUGCUGAACCAUUUCCUGUAUGUUUAAAAAAGAUGUUCAGUUAAGGUCACUAAAAGAUAUUCGUUAUAAAAAUGUACUAUAAAUAAUGUUAAUAAAAAGAUACCUGCUGAACCAUUUCCGGUAUUUUAAAAUACAAUAAACAGUUUUCGGCUAUGAACCACUUUGUGAUUUUGUAACAUCAUUACAGCUUUGCUCGUUACUUACUAGAAGGUGGGGCAACAAUCGCUUGUUCUAUGCUAUCACAAAUAUAUAUAUAUAUAUUGAAUCACAUUUGAUUCCUCUGAGGAAAUUUGGUGGUUGUAGGCCUCUAGGGGAUGGUGUCCACGAUAAAACACCAACGAGGUAUGUGUUGUACCUCAUGGGUGCCUUGGAAAUCAACACGAGUAACCUUUGUUUCAGAUUAUCCUUGAAAAAAAAAAUCAGCACGAGCUAUGUUAGCUUUAACGUGACGACCUUUACGACGUGCUUUUUCUUUACGACAAUACUGUUAGAUAUGUCUUUAUACAUUAACAAAAGUUUUUUUCUACCUAGGUAUACUCUAAGUGUAUAUAAUUUUUUUCUCAAUAUAUCUGAUACAUAAUACCUUUAAAUAUGGUCCUCCUUUUGGAGUAUAAAAAGGACGGUCGACUUUUAACCCGCACGGAUGCACGCCUAUGUACCUUUACGAAGGGAAUUGUACAUAAACCUAUAAGCUGAUCGUAAUCCAUAUCUGCAAAGUAUGUUGUCAGCUUGGGUUAGUAUAUACAGUGCAUUCCGUAUGUUUUAUAAACAUGAUCAGGGGAAAUUGUUGCCUGAUGGCUAUUAAAGAACCGUCUAUGGCCCUCAUAUAUUCUUAUCGCAGAUGUUUAAUAUCAAACUGUAAAAUUAAUACUACCCACUUGCCGUAGAUAAAAUAUUGUAUGCAACUAUUCAGUAAAUUACAUAAAAAAAAAUAAUACACAUUUUUCUGAAAAGACUUGUACAUGAGAUGUUUGCUGGUUUGGUCACAGCGUAAGAAUGGUAUAUGUUCAUUGUAGGAAUGUAUGCUUGGAGGGAGAUCGAGGAUGUUUGUUGGUCAUACUGUAAGAAUGGUAUAUGUUCAUUGUAGGAAUGUAUGAUUGGAGGGAGAUCGAGGAUGUUUGUUGGUCAUACUGUAAGAAUGGUAUAUGUUCAUUGUAGGAAUGUAUGAUUGAAACGAAGAUACGAUAUAGUGCCGUUUUGGCAAUGUCUUAUUCACGUCACGUCAUUCACGUUACGUCAUUCACGGUAAAAUAUCACGUUAAAGAGGUACACUGUUAGGAUGGUUUAAAGAUAAAUAGUCUAUACCAUUAGGGAAUAGAGUGUAGCAGAGACCAUUAGAGGCCAUUAGAAACCAUCAGGUCACGUUAUUUACGUCGCGUGAUUCACGUGACGUUAUGCACGUCACGUUCUGUUAGGCACUGUCACGUUCUGUUAGGCACUAUACGGAAAAGAAGAAGAAGAAUUGGCAAUUAAUAUUGAACGUUGACAGAAGAAGAAUUGACAGUUGCCAUCUGUGUCGCCACCGCUUUCAUUUGAUAUCCCAUACGUCAAAAUCGGAUCAUUAGCCAAGAAGAUAUGUUGUAAUGCCGUUUUGGCAAUGUCAAUUAGUUACGUGUUGCAGCCGACAGGUGGCAUGAUAAGAUGAAGAACUGUGAUAGGAUGUUUGAUGGUCGUACUGUAAGAAUGGUAUACGUUCUUCUAGAGGGCUUGGGCAUAGUUACAUGUUGCAGCCGACAGGUGGCAUGAUAAGAUGAAGAACUGUGAUAGGACUAAUAUAUCACCGUUUUGGCAGUGUUGCCAUGUUUCUCCUUCCCUUCGAUGUCUGUUGCGCUAAAAUUAAUAGCAACGAAGAUAUAGUGUCGUUUUGGCAUUGCUGACAUCUUUGUUUUUAUGUUAACAUAUUCAAUAUCCCCUCUUUUUCCCAACGAGACCAUAUUCACACGAAUUGGACCAAUAGACACGAAGAUAUGAUAUAGUGCCGUUUUGUCAUUGCUGACAUCUUUGUUUAUAUGGUAACAUGCCUUCCUCUUUCCAACAAUAUAUGAUCAGUCAGGUCGGAGACAUGCUCUAAUGCUCUUUUGCUAAUGUCUUUGUGAUUGCUCCUCUUUCGUUUAAUGUCUUACAUGUAAUAAACGAACCAAUAACAACGCAGAUGGCAGAUAGGUGCUUCAUGGAUAAGUGUCUUAUUUGGCUUUCUGACUACACCCUGUAUAUUUUGCGAUAAACGAAAUAAAGAGGAGGCCAUCUUGGAAGGCGAGGGUUUGUGACGUAGGUGGGCCUGGCUGUGUUCCCAUUGGUCGGUGCCUGAUCAUUGGUCGGUGAUUGGGGCUAAGUUCUCAUUGGUCGCUGGACUUUGAUCUCAUUGGUCUAUGGGCGAUGCUGUGGGUGGGCGAGGCUUCCUUCUCAUUGGUCGGUGGGCGGGACUAAG
This 7340-nucleotide unclassified non-coding RNA is filed under the name Diabrotica virgifera virgifera (western corn rootworm). Its description in RNAcentral is "uncharacterized LOC126889548". Lineage: Eukaryota; Metazoa; Arthropoda; Insecta; Coleoptera; Chrysomelidae. The record is from RNAcentral.